Molecule: non-coding RNA, 1597 nt
Organism: Vicugna pacos (alpaca)
Lineage: Eukaryota; Metazoa; Chordata; Mammalia; Artiodactyla; Camelidae
Source: RefSeq, a predicted model, not a curated record
GCCUCUCAAGUUUCUUUUAAUAUAGAGGAAUUCCUCAUUUUUUUUAAUGCAAUUGGCUUACUGAAGAAAUAGGUCCAUUGCCCUGUAGAAGGUCCCACAAUCUAAAUCUAUAUCCUCAUGGUGUUAUUCAAGUUUUUCUUCUAUCAUCCCUAUUUCUUGUAAAUUGAAUGUUUCCUAAAGCCUUGAUUAGAUUUAGGGUCCAAUCUUUUUGGAAAGAAUACUUCACAAGAUGAUGCUGCAUACUUUAGCUUACUUCCCAAAUAAUAUCUGGUUGUCCCUCUUUUAGUGAUUACAAGAUUGAGUAAUGGAUUCAGGUGGUGGUGCCUCUGAUUGCAGUUCCUCAUCAACUUUUCAUCUAAUGGCUUCCAUCCAUCAGUGAUUACAGUCGGCAUCCUCUACCAGGCUCCCAGUGAUCCCCAGCUCGUGAUAUGUACACCCUGAUCUCCCAGGAAAGCCAGCUGCCGUCUUCUGAGAUGCUUUAUGGAGAGGUCCAUGUGGCAAAUAACUGACAUCUCUGGCCAGCUGCCAGCAGGGAUCUGAGCUGUGCCAACAGCCACAAGAGUGAGCUUGGAAGCAGAUCCUCCCCUUAGCAAGCCUUGAGAUGACUGCAGACCCGGCUGACCUUGACUGCAACCUCGUGGGAGACCCUGAGUCAGGGGCACCCCAAACAAAUAAGGAGAAUUGGGAUGAGAAGAUUGGCUGUAUGUGUAUAGACCUGCACGUUUGCAUAUUGCAGAGGCAUGGAGGUUCUUGAAAUUUACACACCUGUGAAAUGAGGAUUCCGAAGGUUGGAAUUGGAUACGUCCCCUGCCGUGCUAUUGCCCCCUAGUGGCUGAUGACAAGAACCCAGCUGUGAGUGUGGGCCUGCCCAGUCACGUGACCCAAGCAGCCUAGCCCUCCCACCCCCGGAAGGUAAACUCCGCCUGCCCCCCCGGGAGACUCCGAAGAAAAUCUUGCUCCCUUCGGCCCGACUCCUCUCCCAAGAUUCCCUAGGGGCUGAGGGCUCUAAAUUGGGAAAGUGACAAGGAAGCCUGUGGAUUCACUCAGGAGGAGAUUCCCAGAACAUCUCAUGUGACUGUCAUGUCAUGGAUGAAAUGCUUUCCACCUCACCUGGCAAAGUCCAGGGCAAAGCAAAAACUGCUGAGUCUCCGGCUAAGGAUUGCCGGCGAGCUCCCACCUUGCGCGAACGGAGAGGCUGUGGCAGGUACAAAAAUACCGGGAGUCCGCCGUCUUCACGAGUUACCUUGGGGGAGUGCCCCAGUUUCUCUGGGUCUGGGUUCCGUCUUCAAAAAUCCUGCCCUGCCAGAUUUGCCCCAAUCUACCAGGCCUGGCACGAAUAAUCCCUUACCCUGCAACGUGCCCGGAGCGCUCUGUAAACUCUAUUUCAGCUCCUACACCCGGCAUGAAUUCAGAAGCUCAGAGCUUCUGAACGGAAAGUACCGUCUCCAUCCCUCUGAUCACUCUGUGGGGCUGUCCUCGCAUAUGAUAAAAACUGAGGUGGUCACCACUGUCCGAAACUUCUCUGCAGUUCCUCCAGCUUUUGUCCUCAAAAGAAAAGUGCCCAGCCAAUGAGACAGUAUGCAAUCCACAGUGAGAA